Molecule: long non-coding RNA, 1675 nt
Organism: Eublepharis macularius
Lineage: Eukaryota; Metazoa; Chordata; Lepidosauria; Squamata; Eublepharidae
Exons: 3
Source: RefSeq, a predicted model, not a curated record
GGCAGAUCGCCGUGAGGACGUGGAGUGGGGAGGAUAGUCAGACCCCCAAAAGGCAUCAGGGCCGAUAAAACUAUCACAAACGCGGUUAGGCUGAGAGAGUGUGACAGAUCACCAAGCAAAUUUCCAUGGCCAAGUGGGGAUUUGAACCUAAGCUUCCCUAGUCUGACAUUCUACCAGUAUACACACAGAAUCCACAGUGAUGAUGGCUUGGAACCUUGCCUAGCUUUUCAGCUGGGAGUCUCGCCUGAGGUCAACAGUUGAAGGACACCAUAGCUUUGGCAGUUCCUCGUAACUUACACUGGCAAUUCUGAGGAUGCCUUCAGAGGAAAAGAAACCUUCCUGAAAGCAAUCUUAAGACUAUGAGCCCCCCAGCAAGGGGCAGUCAUGACACUGAGGACUUGGCAGAUUCUGAAGAUGUAAAGAAGGUAUGGGAUGUGAAGAAGGGGGUGGUAGAUGCCUCUCAUCCCAGCUGAGUCCCCCCUCCGGGCCUUUGGGAAUUUCAGUUGCUAUUUCUACAAGAUUCCCAACACUGAAUUGGGAAGUAGAAUGACACUUGUACACAUUUGAAAGAAACCCUUGAAUGUCUGACCAUGACUCUUUGAAAAAGAACUCUUUUAAAACGGGAUAUUUUGGAUCUAGAUGACCCGUCAGAACCAAGAACUAAUCACAGUCACUCAUGGGACUCUCUGAUACUACAAGGAAGGAGUGCAUAUGGAUCUGAAUUUUCAUUGUUCUAUAUGUAUUAUGGACUAUAUGAUUUUUUGACUUGUUGAUAUAUGAUUUUGUAGGUGCUAUCUAUACAUUUACACUUUAAGGAUGUAUGUGCAAUAUACCGUCGACCAAAUGAAGAAUUCCUUUUGGGACAAGUAUUUGAGCACUAGCACUUUUCUAUUUUGAAAUAAGCUAUCUUUAGCCCAAAUGGUUUGUUUAUACAUACGGCACUUUAAGAGGGGUUUUCCUUAGUACAGAGUGAAAAACUUUGAGGUUGGAUUAAUUGGGUAUGUUAACUAAGGAGUGUAAGUGAUGUUGCUGUAAGUAAAAACCAAGUAUCAGUUUGUCUUGCUCAUAACACUUGUAUUUAUUGUUGGCGUUAAGAGUAUCACAUAGUAAGAUUUUGAGGCUUGAACUUGCUGCCAGAUCUCUGCAGAGAUGGUAAGCACCGCGGUGACCCCAUUACUAUAGAGUAGACUCUUCCUCUGGAAUGCAGAGGUCCUCCCUCUAUGCAGUUUUUUGUUGACAGCAGAGCAUGAUAGAAAGAGAACCCAAACCCGUAAAUAGGAGGAUGUUUUCUGCGUAGAAAUGGCAUGCGUAUGGUUUCUCUCUUGCUGUUGUGGCUGCAGAUCCAAACUAUGUGAGUGUGUCUCAUUUCCAACCCGCCUAGUUCCUUGUUUGUUAUUUACUCUACUUUAUUACACUUUUAUCUUCACCACAUGAGAGUAGCUAGAACCUCUGGCCUUUCUCAUCAUCGUCAUCAUCCAUUUUGUCAACCUACCAAUGUGGUUCAAUUCACUCCUGAUUUAUGAUACCAGGCUUCUCUUUGAUCAGUUCCAUUCCCCCCCCCUCCUUUUGUAAUUUUCUGUGCAAAAAUGUGGGAAAUGGUUUUCUCUCUUCCCAUUGUAUCAAAGAAAGUGAACUCUGACCCACAAAAGCUCAUACUGGAACAAAGGUUAUUAGU